AACUAGAGAGCUUGAAUAAGCACCUGACUUUUAAUCAUGAGAUAAUUGUAUAAUUUCUAGUUA
RNAcentral lists this transfer RNA (63 nucleotides) under Enchytraeus irregularis. RNAcentral's name for it is "tRNA-Lys". Lineage: Eukaryota; Metazoa; Annelida; Clitellata; Enchytraeida; Enchytraeidae. The record is from RNAcentral.